RNAcentral lists this unclassified non-coding RNA (347 nucleotides) under fungal sp. Its description in RNAcentral is "partial internal transcribed spacer region". The stretch from base 1 to 46 matches the Rfam family "Eukaryotic small subunit ribosomal RNA", at positions 1786 to 1831 of the family's 1831-position model. The record is from RNAcentral. Lineage: Eukaryota; Fungi.
AAGUCGUAACAAGGUUUCCGUAGGUGAACCUGCGGAAGGAUCAUUAACACUUAUUAUUAUCCAAUAUCAAAAAUAAAACCAAACGGCAUCUUUUCUUCUCCCUAUUUCGACUACCGGAGACGGGUCGAUUAGGCUAACCUUUUUUUUAAAUUAUAACCCCAUUUAAUUUAUGUCUCUAUUUAUUUAUAGAUAUAAACAAAACCAACUCUUCUUUUGUUCAAGUGUGGUUUUACAUCACACAAACAACAAUAAGAACUAAACUAAAAUAUACAUUUGAUUAUAUUUUUAUUUUACGAAAUAAUAUAUAUUUAUAAGAACAACUCUUAGCAAUGGAUAUCUUGGUUCUC